AUUGAACGCUGGCGGCAGGCCUAACACAUGCAAGUCGAACGGUAGCACAGAGAGCUUGCUCUUGGGUGACGAGUGGCGGACGGGUGAGUAAUGUCUGGGAAACUGCCCGAUGGAGGGGGAUAACUACUGGAAACGGUAGCUAAUACCGCAUAACGUCGCAAGACCAAAGUGGGGGACCUUCGGGCCUCACACCAUCGGAUGUGCCCAGAUGGGAUUAGCUAGUUGGUGAGGUAAUGGCUCACCAAGGCGACGAUCCCUAGCUGGUCUGAGAGGAUGACCAGCCACACUGGAACUGAGACACGGUCCAGACUCCUACGGGAGGCAGCAGUGGGGAAUAUUGCACAAUGGGCGCAAGCCUGAUGCAGCCAUGCCGCGUGUAUGAAGAAGGCCUUCGGGUUGUAAAGUACUUUCAGCGAGGAGGAAGGCAUUAAGGUUAAUAACCUUAGUGAUUGACGUUACUCGCAGAAGAAGCACCGGCUAACUCCGUGCCAGCCGCCGCCGUAAAC
RNAcentral lists this ribosomal RNA (506 nucleotides) under uncultured bacterium. Its description in RNAcentral is "bacterial SSU rRNA". It matches the Rfam family "Bacterial small subunit ribosomal RNA", at positions 30 to 525 of the family's 1533-position model. The record is from RNAcentral.